RNAcentral lists this ribosomal RNA (253 nucleotides) under uncultured bacterium. RNAcentral's name for it is "partial 16S ribosomal RNA". It matches the Rfam family "Bacterial small subunit ribosomal RNA", at positions 524 to 776 of the family's 1533-position model. The record is from RNAcentral.
UACGUAGGGCGCAAGCGUUGUCCGGAAUUACUGGGCGUAAAGGGCUCGUAGGUGGCCAACUAAGUCAGACGUGAAAUCCCCAGGCUCAACUUGGGAACUGCGUCUGAUACUGGAUGGCUUGAAUUCGGGAGAGGGAUGCAGAAUUCCAGGUGUAGCGGUGAAAUGCGUAGAUAUCUGGAGGAAUACCGGUGGCGAAGGCGGCAUCCUGGACCGAGAUUGACACUGAUGAGCGAAAGCUAGGGGAGCAAACGGG